UACGUAGGCAGCAAGCGUUGUUCGGAAUUACUGGGCGUAAAGAGUGUGUAGGCGGUGUUCUAAGUUUGUCGUGAAAUCUCCCGGCUUAACUGGGAGGGUGCGGCGAAAACUGGAAUGCUAGAGGAUGGGAGAGGUAUGCGGAAUUCCAGGUGCAGCGGUGAAAUGCGUAGAUAUCUGGAGGAACACCGGUGGCGAAGGCGGGUCUCUGGGCCGAUACUGACGCUGAGGAGCGAAAGCGUGGGGAGCGAACAGG
RNAcentral lists this ribosomal RNA (253 nucleotides) under uncultured bacterium. Its description in RNAcentral is "partial 16S ribosomal RNA". It matches the Rfam family "Bacterial small subunit ribosomal RNA", at positions 524 to 776 of the family's 1533-position model. The record is from RNAcentral.